GGGGACGUGGCGGAACUGGCAGACGCGCUGGAUUUAGGUUCCAGUUCCUUCGGGAGUGCAGGUUCGAUUCCUGUCGUCCCCAC
Molecule: transfer RNA, 83 nt
Filed under: Botrimarina colliarenosi
Lineage: Bacteria; Pseudomonadati; Planctomycetota; Planctomycetia; Pirellulales; Lacipirellulaceae
Also listed under: 1 other name
Description: Planctomycetes bacterium Pla108 tRNA-Leu
Rfam family: tRNA
About the family: Transfer RNA (tRNA) molecules are approximately 80 nucleotides in length. Their secondary structure includes four short double-helical elements and three loops (D, anti-codon, and T loops).
Source: RNAcentral